UUUUUUUUUUUUUUUUUUUUUUUUUCUUCUCGGAGCUGGGGACCGAACCCAGGGCCUUGCGCUUCCUAGGCAAGCGCUCUACCACUGAGCUAAAUCCUCAACCCGUCAUCUGCAUUUUCAAAACACCACUAACACAGAUUAUCAGGAUUAGCCUCUUAUAGAAUCUUACACUCAUUACACCUCUCUCUCCCCUAUCAUAUUCCAUCACCUGCCUUUCAAAGUCUGUAGCUAUGUAAUGUGUCAUUGUUUAUGAUAUUUACCCUGCUGGGCCCCGGGACUCCACAACUGAUUUCUCUCAUCAAGCAACAGCGUUGCACCUGUUGGUCCAUCCUCCCCCAAUGCUCUGCUAAGUCUCCUCCACUCUCCACUCUUAGAUCUGGACGUCCAUGGGAUCAGUUGUUAGACUCCACUCCUCUGAGCACCUUGUCCUCUUUCCCCCAUCCGUCUGAAUUCUGCUAUUAACUAUGCCUCACUGAAGCUGUAUAACACAAGAGCCCCACCUCCCAGGGGUGUUUGGGUGUGAUUUCCUCAAUAGCACUCGGGUUUGAAGCGCACCAACAUUUAUCAAUAUGACUAAUGAGAUAACCCAUGGUAAAAAUACCCAAAGUCAGUAGCAAUUGCAAUAGAAGUAAAUCUAAUUUUCUCCCCAUAUCCCACACUAAAUCACAAGCCUCAUAAAGCAACCUGUCAAUCUUGUUGACAAAAAAUAAGUUCAAGGGCCUACAUACCCAAGUACUUGACAAAUAAAUUAAUAUAUGCAUGAAAUUAUCUACCACACAGUAGAAAACAAGCAAUCCAUAUUUCUGCAGGAGAAAAAUGUUAUAGCUUAAAGAUUUGAGAAAAUAUCUGAAUUUUAAGCUAUGUUUUCGAGGUAGUAUCUUGAAUAGAAUCAUGAGAUCAGCAGACUACUAUAUUCAUUUAUUUUAAAUGUAACAUUUCUGAGCUUAAAUCAAGCAGAGUUUCUCACUGCUGUAGUGCUGGCACCCUUUAAGCUGAGCCAGGAAGGUUGUGUUGAAUUCAAGACCACCUCAUACAAAGAAUGAGACAUUGUCUCAACAAAACUGAAUUAAUUCAUUAACUCUGAAUUUAAGAACACUUUCUAUAUCCAACAAUGACAAUUAAACAAACAUAUAUUUUACAGAGCGUUUAUUCAUUGAUAUAGGUUGAAAUUAACUCAAAAGCUCUAUUAUGAGUAUCAACAGGUAGAUCAGGAGGUCUCUGCCAGAAGAAACAGCCCCAGAUUUAAUUCCCAUCAGCUCAUAGCCAGUUGUAACUAAUUCUAAGGGAUCUGACAUUUUAUGUGCACAAAUAUAUAUACAAGCAACAUAUCCAUUCAUAAGAUAACCUUUUAAAAAUGUGCAUCAUUUUUUUAUCUCUUAGCUUUGAGAUAGUAAUGCAGAAACUGCUCAUUAGAUGUUUGAUUUGGAACAGUAGAGUGACUUUCUCCUUAAUGAUGGGCAGGGGAGUAAUUUAAGGAGGAGGAGACAUAGUUUGCAGAUGAGUCUGAGGAAAGAAAAUCCCAUGGUUCUGUUAGGGAUGAGGUACAGAGAAGACCACAGAACAAAGAGGAGGCAGAGUUUGUGCUGUUUUCAUCAGGAUGCAGUCUCAGCAUCCAUCAUAGAUGUGCACUUAUGGAAAGGUGUCCAGCUAAAACUACCUGUGGUCAUGUAGCCUCCUAAAAUAGCUAAUAUGAGUAAUUAGUAAGAAUUUAUAGAGACUGUGAUUAGGACAAGAGGAAUGGAUACUUUAGAAUUUAUUUAGGCAAAAUCAGUAAUGAAAUAGAUAAAAUGAGGAAAGAUUGAAUUUGCAUGCUCAAUCUAAUAAUACAUUUAAAUAUGAAUGUGUGUGUGCGUGAGAGAGAGAGAGAGAGAGAGAGAGAGAGAGAGAGAGAGAGAGAGAGAAGAGAGGAAGCUGAUAAUAAGUUUAGCUGUAAAUGUAUGAAAUUAGAAGAAUCAGAAAAAAAUCCCUGAAGGUGAUCAGUAUAAAAUUGGAGGAAUUUAUGGAUUAGUGUUCAGAAAAGAAGACUGAUAAAAGACUUGGAAUUGGUUAGAAAACAAAUAACAAAAACAAUACAUAAUCAAAUAUGAAAACAAAAAUACACGUAUAAUUUUCCCAAAAGGGUGCUUACUUUGAAUUAGAUGAAAUGAAUAACUUAGUUUGCAAGGUAAGGACAUAAAAAGGUAAGAUAACUUGAAUGUCCCUAAAGAAGUCUGGAAGUCAAUGGCCAAACCUGACAUCAAAAAACCAAGAACAGCUGUAUCCCUUUAAAUGUUUUCAAAUGGAGACCAGUGACUCCCCCAGCUUUGAACAGUGGGUGAUUGUUACAUGUUGCUCACGUAUCCAGAAUUCCAUCAGUAAGGCGGCCUCCAAUAGCUGACCCAGGAGCGCCAUGAUCUCAUCAGGGAAACAGUCCCCUUUGUCUCCUUCUGCCCCACCCUCCUGUUUCCAUCAGCCUUGUGCCUCUUACUCUCCUUGUGAGAAUGAUGACUGACUGGAAGUAGAAAUGAGGGCCACGUGCUCCUCAUCCCUAUCUAGACAAGAGACAGUUGGAGAUGGAAAGGUCUUGCCUAAGGAUGAAGAUGACCCCACCCCUCUCCAGCGUACCCCUUAGCUUCCAUUGGCACAGACUGAGUUACCUGAUGAUGAUUCCCGAAACAACCACUGACUUGGAAGAACAAUUAGGUUUCCAUUUUCUAGAGCUGAUCGUGGAGUAAUUUCAUAGAUGCAUUGGUCAUUGGUAGUGAGGGAUGAAUGACUGAUUCUUCAGGUAAAAAGGAAAUGGGAAUUGGAUGGGUACGUAACAAGUCAAUAAAACUCACCACCUAAAGAUUAGGUAAACCUGGGAGAGUGCAGUCUGAGAAGUCACUGACAUUGGCAGAUGACAAAGAGACAUCAGAGAAAGAACGAAAGAAUGGGACAAAGCCAAAUGACAUCCCACAUCAGCUCAAUAGUAAGGAAGCAACUACCCUGGAGCCCCAUUGACGAGUCUAUUGCAAUUUUUAAUUGGGUUGUGAUGAAGACAUUACCAGUGGGUAGUUGAAAGAAAUCUAUCACCUCCUCAAGCUCUGCACUCCCUAACAAUCAGAGAGGAGGAAGGGCAGGGGGCUAGUUUUUACCUCAGAAACUCAGUAUGGUUGUGUUUGCACACUACUGUGUACAUGCACAUGAAUGCAGGUGACUAUAGACUCCAUAUGAAGGGAGAGGACAGAUCCUCUGGAGUUGCAGUUACAGGGGUUCAUGAACCACCCGAUGUGGUUGCUAGGGAUAGGAGUCAGGUCCUCUACAAGAACUCCAAGUACUCUUAACCUCUGAGUUCUCUCUCCAGCAGUUUUUAUACUGGGACUGGAGAAAUGGCUUAGCAGCUGAAAACACUUGUUGCUGCUCUUGCAAAGAAACUCCCUCUUCUCUCCUCCUUGGGUACUGCUUACAGGUGCACAUGCAUGCAAUCCAGGAGAUGUGCAACAGUUGAGAUAACCCUUGUGUCUCCUGACUAUGACUCCCGUGGGCUCUGGAAGUACUCUUAGCUUAUUUAAGGUAAGCUAAUUCAAGCUAAGACGUUCAGUAAUUAUAUGUAUUCAGUGCACUUUUGAUCUGAAGUCUUUUUUUGAAAUGUGCAAUUUUUUAAAAAUGCACUAGAACAUCAACCCAUUAUAAAUUGAAGAAGGUUUGUAAUAACAUCUCCAAGUCAACUUUAGUAAAGAGAAAAUUUUGGUUCCUAAGCAGCACCAUUCUUCGUGUAGAAAUAUUUCUGCACACAUUGUCUGCACUCACUCUUCUCGUUGGCUAACUUGGUAGUUGAUGGACGACAAUCUCACUGGCAAGUUUCCACAGAUUGCGGAGGUCCAUGUCCUUAGAGUGAAUGGCAGGAUGGCCUUUUAUUGUCAAGACUCACAUGAUUGGUGCCUUACUGUCAAGGUUUCAGAAGCUAUUAGAUGAUUUAAAUGUAAAACACACCGUGUUCCUCUCAGAUGUUCGUGCCUAGGACUCACUGAACAUCUGUACCAUAGCCCAAGGUUUUUCUCACGCUGUGUUUCACAUGCCUGUUUCGGAUUUUAGAAGCUGCCAUUUGUAUUAUCCAUGGAGAAGUUGCAAAGUCAUCAUGUUCUGGAAAAGAACUGGAAAUUAUUAGUUGGCAGGUAGGAGAUCAGAAAGCUCCAGGUUGUCCUCUGAGACUUUGUGAGUUCCAGUCCCAAUUCUUCCAGUCUGGGCUACAAGGUUGCACCAUUCAUUAUUAUUAUUAUAUUAUAUUAUUAUUAUUAUAUCAUCAUCAUCAUCAUUAUGUGUCAAGACUUCCAUCUUGAAGAAGGAUCAUAGCAUUUUUACUCCACACCCAGUGUUUGCAAACUGCCCAUCAUUUCCUAAGGGAUCUUAAGAAACGGAAGCAUUGAGUUCUCUUCAGGCCGCGGCGGUGCCUCCCACCUGGAAAAAGACAGCUCUGUAACGGAAUCCCAGCCAGCGUAUGCAUUAUCUGCCCCUCUGUCUGCCUCUGUGAUCAUACAGCAAAUUAAAAGGUCUCCCAGGCUCGGCCUGCCUUCCAGCUGCCAGCCCCUGGGAGACACGAGGGAGCCAGGAGGGACCAGGUGGAGCAGUGUUGAGUUGCACCGAACACACAGUGCAAGGAGAUUGGCCAUAGCUCCCCAAUUGAAUAUUUAUACCAACCCCAUUUCUCCUCUUGCUCUUUGGCACUGACCACAGUGCUGAGCUACUGCUGAUUUCAAGGGCGCUGCAUUGUGUUGGAUCUGCUCUAUGAACUAUUACGCCAGAUGAGAAAUGGGCCACAGGGUCCUAUUGCUGAGAUGGCUUGUUGACUUUUCUUUCCCCGUGGAGACUAUCCUGUUACAGUGUCCAAAGGAAGGGGCAAUGAGGGCGGGGACAUUUCCUGACAUCAUCUGGCGCUGCUGACCUGAGAGGAUGUAUACAAACUCCACCACUGCUUUUAGCAGAACGGAAAGGACCUGAAAUUACAUUAAAGAAAGCACGGCACUC
Rattus norvegicus (Norway rat) is the source of this 4986-nucleotide non-coding RNA. NCBI's taxonomy places the organism in Eukaryota, Metazoa, Chordata, Mammalia, Rodentia, Muridae. The record is from RefSeq and is a predicted model, not a curated record.